Molecule: transfer RNA, 81 nt
Filed under: Bacteriophage sp.
Also listed under: 1 other name
Description: tRNA-Leu
Rfam family: tRNA
About the family: Transfer RNA (tRNA) molecules are approximately 80 nucleotides in length. Their secondary structure includes four short double-helical elements and three loops (D, anti-codon, and T loops). Further hydrogen bonds mediate the characteristic L-shaped molecular structure. tRNAs have two regions of fundamental functional importance: the anti-codon, which is responsible for specific mRNA codon recognition, and the 3' end, to which the tRNAs corresponding amino acid is attached (by aminoacyl-tRNA synthetases). tRNAs cope with the degeneracy of the genetic code in two manners: having more than one tRNA (with a specific anti-codon) for a particular amino acid; and 'wobble' base-pairing, i.e. permitting non-standard base-pairing at the 3rd anti-codon position.
Source: RNAcentral
GCCCCAUUGGUGGAAUGGUAGACACGUGAGUCUUAGGAACUCAUAUCUUAGGGUGUGUAGGUUCGAGUCCUACAUGGGGUA